Molecule: non-coding RNA, 993 nt
Organism: Salvelinus sp. IW2-2015
Lineage: Eukaryota; Metazoa; Chordata; Actinopteri; Salmoniformes; Salmonidae
Source: RefSeq, a predicted model, not a curated record
AUCAGUUACUAUCCAGCCUGACUGGCAGCAGGUUAGGGUGAGUAAUCAGUUACUAUCCAGCCUGACUGGCAGCAUGUUAGGGUGAGUAAUCAGUUACUAUCCAGCCUGACUGGCAGCAGGUUAGGGUGAGUAAUCAGUUACUAUCCAGCCUGACUGGCAGCAUGUUAGGGUGAGUAAUCAGUUACUAUCCAGCCUGACUGGCAGCAUGUUAGGGUGAGUAAUCAGUUACUAUCCAGCCUGACUGCAGCAGGCUAGCAGUACCUAUCGUAACUGUUAGUAACCUAUAGGUUGUAUAGCAUCAGAUUGGCAGUGGUGAUGGAGAGGACAGGGACAACAAAACAGAACUGACUGGAAUCUAAGUUCUAGAAGAUAAUUCUGUAAUAGUUCUAUUGAAGUCUGUUCUACACUCUCUGUAGAAGGCUAGUUACUAGAGCUCGGUCCGUUCAUAUAUGAAUAUUAUGCACUGCUUUAGUUUUAUGUUUUAAUGACCAUCGCACCAAACUGGUUAGAGGAUUAAAUUAGGUUUGAGAGUUUAACCCGACCCUAAAUUAGGUUUGAGAGUUUAAGCUGACCCCUGACCCUAUAUUAGGUUUGAGAGUUAACCCUGACCCUAAUUAGGUUUGAGAGUUUAACCCCUGACCCUGACCCUAAAUUAGUUUUGAGAGUUUAACCCUGACCCUAAAUUAGGUUUGAGAGGCAAGACGUUGCAGUAUAAUGACAUUCACUACUUUAAAUGUUUAUGAAAAUAAAUCCAAUGUUCUUAAUAACCUGUGCUUAUAUUGCAGAUAUUGUAUAAUUGUUUAUUUAAUGUUUAUUUAAUCAAACUGAAAAGUUGAAUAACAUUUUGAACAUGAUUCAGAUGACUUGGUAGCGAUAGUUUACUUCAACAUUAGUUCAAAUCAGAGCUUUUUUUGUCAAAUCAAAUCUUUAUGUAAAUAAUUAACUUUUACAUAAACUGGCACAAGUGUUGAAUAAACUUUGGUUGAUCCUGAA